UACGUAUGGUGCAAGCGUUAUCCGGGUUUACUGGGUGUAAAGGGAGCGCAGGCGGCACGGCAAGCCUGAUGUGAAAGCCCGCGGCCCAACCGCGGGACUGCAUUGGGAACUACCGGGCUGGAGUGCCGGAGAGGUAGGCGGAAUUCCUAGUGUAGCGGUGAAAUGCGUAGAUAUUAGGAGGAACACCAGUGGCGAAGGCGGCCUACUGGACGGUGACUGACGCUGAGGCUCGAAAGCGUGGGGAGCAAACAGG
Molecule: ribosomal RNA, 253 nt
Filed under: uncultured bacterium
Lineage: Bacteria
Description: partial 16S ribosomal RNA
Rfam family: Bacterial small subunit ribosomal RNA
Source: RNAcentral